This 677-nucleotide ribosomal RNA is filed under the name uncultured Bacteroidales bacterium. RNAcentral describes it as "bacterial SSU rRNA". It matches the Rfam family "Bacterial small subunit ribosomal RNA", at positions 54 to 720 of the family's 1533-position model. Lineage: Bacteria; Pseudomonadati; Bacteroidota; Bacteroidia; Bacteroidales. The record is from RNAcentral.
CAUGCAAGUCGAGGGGCAGCAUGGUCUUAGCUUGCUAAGGCCGAUGGCGACCGGCGCACGGGUGAGUAACACGUAUCCAACCUGCCGUCUACUCUUGGACAGCCUUCUGAAAGGAAGAUUAAUACAAGAUGGCAUCAUGAGUCCGCAUGUUCACAUGAUUAAAGGUAUUCCGGUAGACGAUGGGGAUGCGUUCCAUUAGAUAGUAGGCGGGGUAACGGCCCACCUAGUCUUCGAUGGAUAGGGGUUCUGAGAGGAAGGUCCCCCACAUUGGAACUGAGACACGGUCCAAACUCCUACGGGAGGCAGCAGUGAGGAAUAUUGGUCAAUGGGCGAGAGCCUGAACCAGCCAAGUAGCGUGAAGGAUGACUGCCCUAUGGGUUGUAAACUUCUUUUAUAAAGGAAUAAAGUCGGGUAUGGAUACCCGUUUGCAUGUACUUUAUGAAUAAGGAUCGGCUAACUCCGUGCCAGCAGCCGCGGUAAUACGGAGGAUCCGAGCGUUAUCCGGAUUUAUUGGGUUUAAAGGGAGCGUAGAUGGAUGUUUAAGUCAGUUGUGAAAGUUUGCGGCUCAACCGUAAAAUUGCAGUUGAUACUGGAUAUCUUGAGUGCAGUUGAGGCAGGCGGAAUUCGUGGUGUAGCGGUGAAAUGCUUAGAUAUCACGAAGAACUCCGAUUGCGAAG